ACAAUCUACUGGCAAAUCCUUUUUAAUCCUUGUCAUAUGAAAAUAAAUAAUGAAGAGAAAUUAUAGAUAAACGUAUCGGUGCUAAUGGACAUGAACAUUACGCAACAAGUUGGAAAUCGCAAAUUCAACAAGGAGUGUUUUGGAAGGAAUCGGUGACAGUGUCUACCUGCCAGCAUUGCAACUUGGAAGUCGGGAAUAAACGAGCUCAGACUGGGAAAUACAUUUUGAAUGGUCAUCCAACUCAGAAUUGUAAAUCUGGCCUCUUUCUCUUUCUUUGAUGACAAAAAUUGCCCACGAAGGACCGCCACGCCACCCACCUGUUCAAGUGAGCACAUCACAACAAGGUGAUUCCAAAAAUGUCUUAUAUGCUGCUGCAUAAAGGAUGUAAUAUGCCAGGGAGAUAUGUAUCCUGCAGCUAAGAAGGGAACCAGACCACGGUCAGAGGAGGAGAGAGGGGAGUAUGGUCACAGCCAGAGAUCGACCACAUAUCAUGGGCUGCCCUUAGAUCCUCACCCACACACACACACACACACACACACACACACACACACACACACACACACACACACACACACACACACACACACACACACACACACACACACACACACACACACACACACACACACACGGACAGACACAUAAACAUAUCCUUUUUAGUAUUCCAUGGCUGGGUGGAGAUUGAUGUCGGUAAGCAAUGCCGACAGUAUCCUGAGGUAUUCUGUAUGUCUAUGCAAGCAUGCAAAGACAUACGCACCUUAUCUCACACUCCCACUGUCCUCGGGGGGAUAAGCAGACCUGCAUACCGAUGGGGCAGCGAGAGGCCCUGAUUGACACACACACACACACAGGAUACCGCAGAUACUGUCAGCAUUGCUUACCAACAUCUAUCUCCACCCAGCCAAUACCAAAAAGGAAUAUGUUUGUGUCUGUCCGUACAUGCAUAUGUGCGUGUGUGUGUGUGCGUGCAGUUGUGCGUGUGCAUAUGUGUGUUGUGUGGACUGAUUAGAGUGCAUUCGAUAGAGAACACUAUCCACACACAUCCAUGUGUGUGCGCACGUGCCUGU
RNAcentral lists this long non-coding RNA (1067 nucleotides) under Salmo salar (Atlantic salmon). Its description in RNAcentral is "lncRNA (ENSSSAG00000111331.1)". The record is from RNAcentral. Lineage: Eukaryota; Metazoa; Chordata; Actinopteri; Salmoniformes; Salmonidae.